This 225-nucleotide long non-coding RNA is filed under the name Lathyrus oleraceus (garden pea). RNAcentral's name for it is "Pisum sativum (pea) long non-coding RNA (PSAT_LNC008194)". Lineage: Eukaryota; Viridiplantae; Streptophyta; Magnoliopsida; Fabales; Fabaceae. The record is from RNAcentral.
AAAAACGUGGACCACUUGAUCUCCCUCAUUAAUUGAGGUGAAAGAUCAACUGGUGGAGAGCGCGCGUUCCAUGGUACGCGCUAGUCAACAUUUGUAGCACCUCAAAUUUGCACCUCACAUUUUGUACAUACAUUUUCAUGAUUAAGUCAUUAACAUAGCAUUGUCCACUGCAUAGCAUUGCAUUGUCCUUUGCCCAAGUGCAAGUCAUCAGUCAACUAGUUAGAA